Molecule: long non-coding RNA, 295 nt
Filed under: Elaeis guineensis (African oil palm)
Lineage: Eukaryota; Viridiplantae; Streptophyta; Magnoliopsida; Arecales; Arecaceae
Description: long non-coding RNA (EGUI_LNC032890)
Source: RNAcentral
GCUGGUGGAGAGAGACGGAUCAUGACUACUAUGGAAUCCUCGAAGAAGUGAUCAAGUUGACAUACCUUAGAGGUAAUAGUAUUUUUCUAUUUAAGUAUGAUAGUUUGAUAUCAAUAAUUAUAUGAAGAUUGAUCCACGGUGCUGGCUUAUUGAAAUCAAACAUGGAUCAAAAGCAUAUGUCAACGACCCCUUUGUGUUAGCUUAACAAGCUGUUUAAGUGUAUUAUACUUUUUUUCCAUCAAGAGAGAGAGAAGAAAAGAUUAGUGGAUUGUAUAUAAAGUUAAGUCUCGAAUCA